Molecule: ribosomal RNA, 329 nt
Filed under: uncultured Neocallimastigales
Lineage: Eukaryota; Fungi; Neocallimastigomycota; Neocallimastigomycetes; Neocallimastigales
Description: partial large subunit ribosomal RNA
Source: RNAcentral
GUUGUUUUUCCGAAAAUCAAUUAUGAAUGUUUUUGUUUUUGAGGAGUUAUGACUUCAUCGGCUUGCUCCUUUCUUUACGGAACUUUCGUAAUGCACUUUUCGGUUAACAAGUCAACAUCAAUUUCUUUUGUUGUAAAAGGGUAUGAGGAAGGUGGCUUUCUUUUCGGAGAAAGUGUUUAUAGCCUUGUACCUCUGCAAUCGGAGAGAUUGAGGUCUGCAGCGUAGAUCCUUCGGGGCUAGAUACACUUGUGCUAAGUUAUAGCUUUUCAUAGACAACUUGUUGACUAUGUUUAGUCAUGUAGCUUACCCGCUUGUGCUAUUUUACCUAC